UACGGAGGGUGCAAGCGUUAUCCGGAUUCACUGGGUUUAAAGGGUGCGUAGGUGGGUUGGUAAGUCAGUGGUGAAAUCUCCGGGCUUAACCUGGAAACUGCCAUUGAUACUAUCAAUCUUGAAUACCUUGGAGGUGAGCGGAAUAUGUCAUGUAGCGGUGAGAUGCUUAGAUAUGACAUAGAACACCAAUUGCGAAGGCAGCUCACUACACGGUCAUUGACACUGAGGCACGAAAGCGUGGGGAUCAAACAGG
RNAcentral lists this ribosomal RNA (253 nucleotides) under uncultured bacterium. Its description in RNAcentral is "partial 16S ribosomal RNA". It matches the Rfam family "Bacterial small subunit ribosomal RNA", at positions 524 to 776 of the family's 1533-position model. The record is from RNAcentral.